This 313-nucleotide long non-coding RNA is filed under the name Bos indicus x Bos taurus (hybrid cattle). RNAcentral's name for it is "lncRNA (ENSBIXG00005028002.1)". Lineage: Eukaryota; Metazoa; Chordata; Mammalia; Artiodactyla; Bovidae. The record is from RNAcentral.
UGUUGACAUUUGGUCUUUCUAUUACUUCUAGAUUACAUCUGAAUAAAAUGAAAGUUCUCCUUCUGCUCACAGCCAUCUUGGCAAUAACCAUUGGUUUCCCGGUCUCUCAAGACACGGAAGAAGAAGCACGAAGUGUCAGUGGGAGUGAUGAACUAUCUUCACAGUUCUUUUUUCCUCCUUACCAAUAUCCACGCAGCCAUUAUUCACGAUUCCUCUGUCCAUGGUGGGCCUAUUUUUAUCCUCCCAUUCCAGUACCUGCAUCUGUCUCUGCAACUACUCCUCUUAAUGAGAAGUAAAUAAGAAAGAGAAGUCC